AGAGUUUGAUCCUGGCUCAGGAUGAACGCUAGCGGCAGGCUUAACACAUGCAAGUCGAGGGGCAGCGGGGAGGAAGCUUGCUUUCUCCGCCGGCGACCGGCGCACGGGUGAGUAACACGUAUGCAACCUGCCCCUGUCAGGGGGACAACCCGCCGAAAGGCGGGCUAAACCCGCGUACAUGCCACCGGGGCAUCCCGGAGGCAGGAAAGGCUUCGGCCGGACAGGGAUGGGCAUGCGGCGCAUUAGGCAGUAGGCGGGGUAACGGCCCACCUAACCGACGAUGCGUAGGGGUUCUGAGAGGAAGGUCCCCCACACUGGUACUGAGACACGGACCAGACUCCUACGGGAGGCAGCAGUGAGGAAUAUUGGUCAAUGGUCGGGAGACUGAACCAGCCAAGCCGCGUGAGGGAGGAAGGUACAGAGUAUCGUAAACCUCUUUUGUCAGGGAACAAAGGCGGGGACGUGUCCCCGGAUGAGUGUACCUGAAGAAAAAGCAUCGGCUAACUCCGUGCCAGCAGCCGCGGUAAUACGGAGGAUGCGAGCGUUAUCCGGAUUUAUUGGGUUUAAAGGGUGCGCAGGCGGUCUGUUAAGUCAGCGGUCAAAGCCCGGGGCUCAACCCCGGCCCGCCGUUGAAACUGGCAGUCUCGAGUUGGAGAGAGGUAUGCGGAAUGCGCGGUGUAGCGGUGAAAUGCAUAGAUAUCGCGCAGAACUCCGAUUGCGAAGGCAGCAUGCCGGCUCCACACUGACGCUGAGGCACGAAAGCGUGGGUAUCGAACAGGAUUAGAUACCCUGGUAGUCCACGCAGUAAACGAUGAAUGCUGGCUGUCCGGGGGGACUGACCCCUGGGUGGCGAAGCGAAAGCGAUAAGCAUUCCACCUGGGGAGUACGCCGGCAACGGUGAAACUCAAAGGAAUUGACGGGGGCCCGCACAAGCGGAGGAACAUGUGGUUUAAUUCGAUGAUACGCGAGGAACCUUACCCGGGCUCAAACGGGGAGUGGCGCAGGCAGAGACGCCUGUUUCCCACGGGACACUCCCCGAGGUGCUGCAUGGUUGUCGUCAGCUCGUGCCGUGAGGUGUCGGCUUAAGUGCCAUAACGAGCGCAACCCCCGCGUGCAGUUGCUAACAGUCAACGCUGAGGACUCUGCACGGACUGCCGGCGCAAGCCGCGAGGAAGGCGGGGAUGACGUCAAAUCAGCACGGCCCUUACGUCCGGGGCGACACACGUGUUACAAUGGGUGGUACAGCGGGAAGCCAGGCGGCGACGCCGAGCGGAACCCGAAAUCCACUCUCAGUUCGGAUCGGAGUCUGCAACCCGACUCCGUGAAGCUGGAUUCGCUAGUAAUCGCGCAUCAGCCAUGGCGCGGUGAAUACGUUCCCGGGCCUUGCACACACAGCCCGUCA
RNAcentral lists this ribosomal RNA (1402 nucleotides) under uncultured bacterium. Its description in RNAcentral is "16S ribosomal RNA". It matches the Rfam family "Bacterial small subunit ribosomal RNA". The record is from RNAcentral.